Long non-coding RNA from Lepus europaeus (European hare), 321 nucleotides. RefSeq lists it as uncharacterized. NCBI's taxonomy places the organism in Eukaryota, Metazoa, Chordata, Mammalia, Lagomorpha, Leporidae. The record is from RefSeq and is a predicted model, not a curated record. The transcript has 3 exons.
CACAGGACGAAGCUACCACACGACAUCGAUUACACGCGUCUCAUGCACCCCGAGGAUCCCAGUGUUCCGGGAGCCAGGGAGCAACAAGCCAGCACCUGCCAAAGUGUCCCGGCUUCCAGAGCUGGUGUUUAUGCCAGCGCCGGGAGUCUGCCGGAUACCAGCGACAGAGAGGUAGCAGAACGCCGUGUCUGUUGACUGUCUUGGAAGCAACCCCUUGAAUCGGGAGAAAGAGAAAGCAAAGGUGGAGGUUAAUGGUUGUCACUCUCCACGGAGACAGCCAACCCCAGCGGUCACCAAGGUCUCAACAUCAUCUCAGGUUGA